AGAAGGAAAAGCAGUCCACCCCCACGGGACUCACUGUUGCUCUCAGAUGACUGUUCCUCUCUCCCAGCGAGCACACAACUCUCUGAUGAAAAUCCCAGUAGGUCCUGGCUGGAGUCAUGAGGCAGCGCGCGAGCCGAUCGAGGCCGGAGGAAUCCAUUUGGUCUAAUCGAUCUAUGACUCAGUGAACUUUACAUGGACGCUGGAAAUACUGAAUAUUCAUGACACAGUGUAUAACAACAGAAAGAGAGGAUACAGAACACUGUUUGCAAAUCAGUUUGACAAAAAAGGAAGAUGAAGAAAUUAGCCACAAGAGAGAAGAAACCCCACAGGAAUAAAAACACAGACAGGAAGGGGAU
Molecule: long non-coding RNA, 356 nt
Organism: Pipra filicauda (Wire-tailed manakin)
Lineage: Eukaryota; Metazoa; Chordata; Aves; Passeriformes; Pipridae
Exons: 3
Source: RefSeq, a predicted model, not a curated record